GACGAACGCUGGCGGCGUGCUUAACACAUGCAAGUCGAACGGAAAGGCCCUGCUUUUGUGGGGUGCUCGAGUGGCGAACGGGUGAGUAACACGUGAGUAACCUGCCCUUGACUUUGGGAUAACUUCAGGAAACUGGGGCUAAUACCGGAUAGGAGCUCCUGCUGCAUGGUGGGGGUUGGAAAGUUUCGGCGGUUGGGGAUGGACUCGCGGCUUAUCAGCUUGUUGGUGGGGUAGUGGCUUACCAAGGCUUUGACGGGUAGCCGGCCUGAGAGGGUGACCGGCCACAUUGGGACUGAGAUACGGCCCCGACUCCUACGGGAGGCAGCAGUGGGGAAGAUUGUGCAAUGGGCGGAGGCCUGAUGCAGCAACGCCGCGUGCGGGAGGCCGGCCUUCGGGUUGUAGACCGAUUUCGCCUGUGACGAAGCGUGAGUGACGGUAAUGGGUAAAGAAGCACAGGCUAACUACGUG
RNAcentral lists this ribosomal RNA (468 nucleotides) under uncultured bacterium. RNAcentral describes it as "partial 16S ribosomal RNA". It matches the Rfam family "Bacterial small subunit ribosomal RNA", at positions 28 to 507 of the family's 1533-position model. The record is from RNAcentral.